This 253-nucleotide ribosomal RNA is filed under the name Anaerostipes hadrus ATCC 29173 = JCM 17467. Its description in RNAcentral is "Anaerostipes hadrus DSM 3319 partial 16S ribosomal RNA". It matches the Rfam family "Bacterial small subunit ribosomal RNA", at positions 524 to 776 of the family's 1533-position model. The record is from RNAcentral. Lineage: Bacteria; Bacillati; Bacillota; Clostridia; Lachnospirales; Lachnospiraceae.
UACGUAGGGGGCAAGCGUUAUCCGGAAUUACUGGGUGUAAAGGGUGCGUAGGUGGUAUGGCAAGUCAGAAGUGAAAACCCAGGGCUUAACUCUGGGACUGCUUUUGAAACUGUCAGACUGGAGUGCAGGAGAGGUAAGCGGAAUUCCUAGUGUAGCGGUGAAAUGCGUAGAUAUUAGGAGGAACAUCAGUGGCAAAGGCGGCUUACUGGACUGAAACUGACACUGAGGCACGAAAGCGUGGGGAGCAAACAGG